This is a long non-coding RNA of Taeniopygia guttata (zebra finch), 6731 nucleotides long. NCBI's taxonomy places the organism in Eukaryota, Metazoa, Chordata, Aves, Passeriformes, Estrildidae. The record is from Ensembl.
AAGCUGGUUGGUAUCCUAGAAGCUGGUCAGACCCCCCCCCAACCACAGUGGUUGUUUGGCCAGCUGAGGUGAUGGAAUUUAUUGGGCUGUGCAAGGACAGUUGUCUGUGGAAACAUGAAGGACCUUCAGGGGAAAUAAAAUACGGCCUCAUAGUAGAAACAGCUGGGCUGAACACUCUUUAUUCCAGCUAGCAAUCUUUCCUCUCAGGAGCAAGAGAUUCCACCUUUCAUUAAAACAGAACUAUUAUUAUUAUUAUUAUUAUUAUAAUUUUUUUUUUUGAGGAACAUAAAGGACCUUUUUUAUUUGUUUUAUUAGCAUUUUUAAAUCGUGCUUGUUUAUGUUAUUAGCAUUUGAAGUCAUCUUGUCACCCAUUGCAUGAGAAGCAUGAAACAUUAGAUGUUAACAAAGUGUGACACCUGCAAUGAGAUGCAAAUGCUGAAUCUCCUUUUGGACAUGUGGGAGUAACAGGCUCAAGUUCUUUAGUGACCAGCAGGAGAUGAGAGACAGGCAUUGCACGUAUACAGAAGGUAACAGAUGUCAUGCAGAGCUUCCCUGGUGGGUAAAAGCAAUUCUGCUUGUACAUAUUUUGAUUUUAAAAACACAAAAUGAGGCAAAGCCAUGCUCCUGUGUUUUCUACCUUUGGCUUGAUACAGGCUGGGACAGACUGUUUCCAUGAAUAUGUUGCACCCAUUCCAGACUUCAGGCACCAAUGCUGGUCCUCAGCAGAUAAAACUCUGCUUUGUAGGAGGCAUCACCACCUCGAAUGGAAUUUGGAGCAGAAGUGUUUGGUUUUGAGGCCUGGGCAGAGACGACUCUGCUGGGCAGCCCAGGGCUGGGAGAAUCAUCUGUGUCCUGCUGGGGAAAUGUGGUGGCAAGAAGGUGAAGGCAAUUAUGGAAACAAAUCCAGUUUUGGGGAACGCUUUGGUCAUUUGGAUUGAGAUAGUCUAUGUAGAAAAAGUGGAGACCUCAGUGGAUAAACCCCAGCAAGUGUCAUCCUCUGCAGGUCCUGGGUGAUGUUAGUGGAAUUUCCACAGAAACCCAGGGAUGAGGCAACCAAGAAGAGCAUCCCAGUGACUACAAAGCUGCAGGUGCUCAGUCCAGUAUCACCUUGAGCCCAGGGGACCAACAAAGCCUCACCUGUGCCUGCUCCUGUGCACAGCCAGAAGCAGGGGCUGGACAAGGUCUUGGACCAGCUCAGCCAAGCUCUGUCUAACCCAGCUGUACCCAGUCAAGAAUAGGGUCCAACCCUGGGCUCAGCCUGUGUGAUAUGGGAGAGAUUUUAGCCUUGAUCAUCACAAACACACUCUAUGCUUUACAUCCAGAAAUGACCUAUGGAUGGAGGAUGAAGAACAUGGACUUGGGAGAAAACCCCAAAAAUCCACCAUGUGGCAUGAGACCUUUCAGUCUAAUCAGUGUGGCAAGGGACAAAUCCAGCUCAGAGCUUCUCAAUCUAUGCCUGGUGGUCUUCAGGAGGAGAGUCAGGAUGAGGAAGGGGAGUGGGAGAAGAUCUUUGUGUGCUGCCCUGGUGGCUGCUGGUGCAGGAAGUGAUGGAUGCUCAUUCCCAGCCCUCCCUCAGUGGCAGGAGCCCAGGGGUGUUGCAGCACUCCAGCACAGGCAGGGAGGCCCUGGCUGCUUUGGGCAGCUGCCUGAUUUCCCUGGGCCUUGAGCCGUCCCGGCUGGAUGCUCUCAGCUCCGACAUGGUCUGGAGGAGAGAAAACAAGAGACAUUCCUGCUGUGUGAGGGGAGCACAGGGAGCAGAGCUGUCCCACAGCGCUGUACGUCACGUCCUGCUGACAGAUCCUGGCUGUAGCAAAGAGGCUGCAGCCCAAAAAGAGCCCCUUCACUCACAAGUGAGAUGAAUAGAUGGGAAGGCUGUCGUCCACCCACACCUCUGUGUCCUGUGCUGUGCCCCAGCAGAGGAGCAUCAGGAGCAUCAGGAAAGGAAUGCUCGCUGUGGCCUCCCAGGAAUGGGGUGGAUGUGGCAAGGCUGGUGCAAAGAUGCCAACCUGGUCUGGUCCUGCAUCUACUCAGUCCCAGCUCUUGCCCUGCAGCACCACAUGCAUCUCCCAUCUUCCACCACCUCUGGGGCCUGCCCCCAUCAUCUCAGAGAGCUUCUCCUCCUGGAACGUGUUUGUAGUAAGUCCCAUGUGAUGUUUUACACAUAUUUUUGUCUUCACACUGAUAGAGGGUAGGGUUAGAUUAGAUUUUAGGAAGAAAUUCUUCCCUUUGAGAGUGGGGAAGCACUGGCACAGGUUGCCCAGAGAUGCUGUGUCUGCUCCUGCAUCUCUGGAAGUGUCCAAGUCCAGUUGGAUGGGGCUUGGAGCACCCGGUCUAGUGGAAGGUGUUCCUGCCCAUGGUAAGGGGUUGGAACGAGAUGAUCCUUCAAACCCAAAUCAUUCCAUGAUUAUGAUCUUAAGAUUUUAUGUUUUUCUAUUAUAGCACAGGGCAAAAUAUCCCCCAUUAGGCUAGCUGGCAUCUUCCUGUUGCUGUGGUGAAAGCUCGUUCCUGCUCUGCUUCUUCCCUUCAUCUUCCUUGGAGAAAAACUGUCUUUUAUUUCCUGCUGGAGAAAAUGGAGACCACUUUUCAUCCCCAGCCCUUGAACACUGGGGAGUGAAACAUAGGUGGUGGACUAAUGCCAUCAAAAUUUCUUUGUCCCCUUGCCCAUAUCUCCAUGUCUGCUGCCAGCCCAGGGGUGCUGGGUUUCCUCCUGGGUAGCAGUGCCCAGAGGGUGGAAAAUUGGGGAUGAAUUGCUGAAAAGGCUCCGUUUGCAGCUCAAGUUGACGGCUCUGCUCUGAGGUCAAGGAGCUGCUGCUUUUGCCAGCAAAAAGAGCCCAGAUGUUUUUCAAUUUACAGAGGCCAGCUCGCAGAAGGCAGGUUAGCACUGUCAUGCUGCAAGUUUGGGAAGGACCCCUUCUUCUCCAAGUCCCUGGCAUAAAAUACACUCUGUGAAGCAGGAGGUCAGAGUGCUGAAGUGAUUUAAGAGCCUUUGCUCUGACUCAAGGAUUUUGAAGGGGUCUUCGUGUUUGUUGUGUUUCUGGAUUCUAAUAUCAAUGAGAGAAUUAAAUCAUUAUAUUAAAACAUCAAAACACUAAUGCUUUGUUUUCAUUGGCAUGAACCAAAAUGAUCUAACUCAAAAGCCAUGAAAUAUCAGUCUUUUUUUUUGCUGAUGAAUAAUAAGAUCUCUGGCUGCAUGUGAUAGUAAAUUUAAUAAUGUCAGUGAUUUGAAAGGUUUGAAUCCUAAACGUGAAGAAAUGUGUUUUACCCCCUCCACCCUCUACCUUUUUUCUCCUUUCUCCCUGCACUACUGUCAGGAAGUUUUGUGGUAAACAAGCCAAAAUGUGCACAUUAGAGCCCAUCUCAUGUACCAGGUGAGUGCCAAAUUCCACAAACCCAGUGCAAACCUCCAUCUCCCAGGUGGUCUGAAUUUGCUUAUAGCUGGGUCCUGUAAGCAGAUUUAAUAUUUCAUAAGCACUGCUCCAUCUCAUGCCUAUAUUAUUGACACCACAUGGAAGUCAGGAAAUUGGUUCUUUCUGGGAACAGUUUGCAGAAAUAUGCAGCCUGUCAGCUCCUUUCUCAUGGGGUGCAUUAACAGAGGGGCUCGCAAUUACAAGUAAUGAACCUUCUCCAGAUGUCUGCAGCGACUCAGCUCCAACUUUAUCUUCGACGGACGAGAUGGACUUGACAAGAUGGAUUAUUUGUGGAUAUAAUGUAACAACUUUGCAAAACGUGGAAUUCCCAAUUAUUGCAAGGCGAGGCGAAGUAUUCGGUAGAAGCGAGAACGCCGAGGUUUAUCCACUGGAUAAACAACAACCCAAAAGGAAAGAAGCUGUGCCAUUUCCCCCCUCUUGAAACCACCAAUGUUCCCAUGCUGUUUUAAUUCUUCCUCUUUACGAUGCCGUUUAUGUUACACACAUUAAAGUUAAGUCAUGUCUUUAAUAAGAUGGAAACUGGAAGUGAGAUUUUGAAGAAAAAGGAGCUCGGAGUCCUAAAUUUACUCUGCGCUUGGAGGGAACAGAAAAAACAACAGAAAGGAUGGGAUAUACCAAAGAAAGCAAUUUUAAUUGUCAUCUUCCAUGGAAAAUUGAAUCCAUUCGUUCCCCACCGCUGUGAGUGCCAACGUACUGCGCUAUAUAUGGCUGGGUGCUUAUUUUAGCAGUUCAGCUGCACAGAAAAAGUGCAACCAAAGUGAGACUUCUCGGGUAAAGUUCUGCCUGCAAAUGAUGCAUGGGGUUUCCGGGUUGUAAAUUUACAAGCAGGUAUUUCAUGGCCUGCCCCAGAUAACUGGGACAAAUCUCUUUUACUUUGGGUUUGACUAAGAGCGAUAAUUUCAUGCUAAUGACCUCUUAAGGAAAACUUGUCAGGUGUGGGUAGAGGGAUGCUGAAUUAUCUUUCUUUCAAAUCUGAGGUCUCCUUGGGGAAGUAUUUGUAGAUCUUCUCGGGCUGAGCUGCAGGUUUGUUUGAUGUGGAUCUUCAAGAUAAAAUUACUGUGCUCCAGAUGUUCCAGUUUAAAUGUUUGUACAUAGGGAUUUCCUUGGUUGUUGAAGAGAGGAGACUCAAAACAGACUCGAUCAUUCAAGCAUCUAUUCCUAGCACAUGUUUUGCUAUGUUUGAGGAGGCAAAUGUCAAGAGCAGUUUUUAUAAACAGGCCUUUCUUUCUCAGAGCACGGUUUGUUUACCAGGUAACGUGCAGAGCAGGCUUCUGCAGUGCUGACAGCAAACUGUUGAUUUAAACUAUCACUCCUCUCCCACCAGCUCCAAAAAUCUUCCUUUCUCAUCAGGAUGAGAAAAUAAAAGGAGAAAUGCUGCUCCCUACCUGUUGCCUGCCAAGAGUGAGAUAUGCUCUGCCUGCAGCCCCACUGGCAGCAGUGCAUCUUCUGCAGUGCCUUUUUCCAGAUGUGGGAAAGACUGAGCUCUGGGGAUGCUGGACCCAGCACAGCCCCAGCUGGUGCUGAUCCAUGAAACCCUGCUCCCAUCCCUGCUGCAAUCAGGCUCUUUUGUCCCCUCAGGGUCUCCUGGGGCUCAGGACAUUAAUGCUUUCUCAACAAGAAGAACUCACUCAAUAUUGUUCCUGCAGGACACAAACUCGGUUGGCACUUGGGAGUUUUGUCCCAGUUUAGAAAGGAGCAGAGACCAUUCCCAUAUGGUUUAGUGCCAGGGAGGAGACAGUGAGCUUCCUUCCCUACCAUGACUCUUCAUGGGUGUCCUCAGCAAUUUGGGACAGUAACAUGCCUCCAGGCAGCAGCAAACAUCUGUGGAGACAAAUAACUUCAAAGGGUGGCUGAUAAUUAUCAAAAGGAAGAGCCAGCUCUUUGUAAAUAAUAAGACAACCCACUGCAGGAUGGGAUCUAUCCUGAUGCCAAUUUUGGUGGCAUUACAUGCAGCAGUGGGGGAGCAGGGCUGGUCCCCUCUUUUGGGUGUCUGCAGAAGUCAGUGUAGGGGGUUGUGCUGCUUAAGGGGGAGCCAGGGGCUGGCUCAGCAGUUCCUGUUCUCAUCUGAUCAUUUGGGCUGGCUUUGACAUCCCAAGUGUGGCUUUGUCAGCCUGAGAUGCAGAAGAGGGGUUUAAUUUUUCUCUUCCAUGUAUCCACAAGCCCUGGUUUUGACAAUAAUUCAGAAAUUUGGGGAAGAACAAACAAAUUAACUAAACAGUGUGGCAAAGCAGAUGCAGAGACAGGGAGAUGAACAACAGGGUGGUGGAAAGGAGCCCUGCUCUGAGGCUGAUGCUCUGUGCCCCUCAGCCAGGUGGGGAAGGGGCUGUAAAGCCCUGUUUGAGCUGAAAGCACGAUGCAACUGCAGUUCUCCCCAUCUUCUGAGGGAAAAGAGCACCACAUGGAAUUGGAAAACACAACCGUUAAGUGUGGGAAUCCAGGGCUUCCCUCUGUCUGCCCUGGCAGGUCUGGGACCCUGGCAGGGGUCAGGAACCCCCCUGGACAGAGCCCCCAGAGACACUGUCUGUGAUCUCUGUCCAUGGAAAAGAGUUUUCAAUCUUACAGGAUGAAUUACAAGCUUUGAGUGUUUGAUAAGAGUAAUAAUUAAGUGUGACACGGGUGCAAAGGUAAAAUUUUAGGUUUCUAGAUUAGGGGUUCAGAGGGGACAAGAUGGAGGAAUUGGGUGUGCCUUGUCUUUUUUCUCCUUCUUCAUGCCCUCCAUGUUUCACUGUGGUGUUGGCAUUUUUCUGUUGGUUUAGGCUGGGAACACACUGUUCAAUGUAGGUGACAGAUAUUGGCACAUUAUUGUAAAUAUAGCACAGGUAGUUUGUGGUAUUUAAUGUUUGUACCAUCCCACUGAGGGCAGAGCCCCACACGCUGCCCUGCAGGACAGAGCUGCGGCAGGGCAGCAGAACAUGUUAGAGAUAAACAGAAUAAACAACCUUGAAACCAGCACAGACCAAUUAUGGCUUCUUCUUUGGCAGCGGGGCAGAAAGACAGAGACUUUUACAAUCUGGGAAUCGCCAAUACCUCAGAUUCCGACGCUGCAGCACCACGCUCCGCUCUCCCUCAGCCUCCGUGCGCGCAGCCCGGCGGUGCCCACAGGCCGAGGUGACCCCGCUGCCUGCGGCCACCGCGCCCGACACUGGUGGCGACCUCCAGCCGGAGCAUCUGGGGCUCAGGCCGCCUCUUUCCGGGCACCUCAUGGCUCUCCAUCCGUGGUGGUGGGCUGGGAUGAGCUGAUGCAGCUCAUCAGGAGCACCAGGAGCAGCGCGGCCGGCCCCGGCGGAUGCUCCCCGAGGCGUU